UCGCAGUCGGACGUGUUUUUUUUCUUCUCUCUUAAACUUUGUGAUUUACAUACAAUUUCAUCUCUAUAUUACUUAAAAGCUCGUUCUGUCAUAAGACUACGGGAGUCACAGACAACACAUUUCAUUUUAUGGCAGAAGCUAAUCGUUCAGAUGGAACCGAACUUCCAGCUGCAUUUCCUUUCUCUCGCAACCUUGGGCUGCAGAGUCUCGCAGUUCUAUGCUCCUUAUGUGCAGGUCUAUAAAACUUUCCGGAAAACACUAAGCUAACGGUCACAUCAGAGUCUCCGCUCACAUUUUUAGUGGCUUCUUUAAAAGGUUGGAGAACAUGGCACAAAUCGCGACAAAUAUUCAGCUCCUCCACUGAGAGCAUUUCUAGUGAGUUACGGAGGGUUCGUCUACUCAAAAUUACAAAUGCAACUUCGUCAGCUAGCGCAACGAACGAGUUUAGCAUAUCCAAGCACGAGUUCCAUCGAGUAUUCACCUUUUGAAUCAAUACACCUGGCCCUCGCUUAACUCGGACUCUUUUAGCACGAACUCGGAUACAAAUUUGCUCCCA
Molecule: long non-coding RNA, 556 nt
Organism: Drosophila sulfurigaster albostrigata
Lineage: Eukaryota; Metazoa; Arthropoda; Insecta; Diptera; Drosophilidae
Exons: 3
Source: RefSeq, a predicted model, not a curated record